CUAUAAAUUCGAUGCUUAUAACUGUCUUUUUGGUGGUUAUUUUGUUUUCUUUGUUGUUUGUGUAACAGAUAUGUCACCUAAAGAGACUCAGGAUGCAAGCCCAACCAAAGCACAGAGAGUUCUUGAGGUCCACUCCAAAAUUACCAGCUGCCCUCCCCCUGGCAGCUGUAACCAUAGUAGUCAUCCAUCCCAGCUCUAGUUUGUUUAAGACUUCUUCAUUUCUCCCAGACCAGCAUUCAACUUCCUGCACAGAGGUAAAUGAUGUGACGUGA
RNAcentral lists this long non-coding RNA (272 nucleotides) under Vulpes vulpes (red fox). RNAcentral describes it as "lncRNA (ENSVVUG00000008899.1)". Lineage: Eukaryota; Metazoa; Chordata; Mammalia; Carnivora; Canidae. The record is from RNAcentral.